Molecule: ribosomal RNA, 863 nt
Filed under: uncultured Chloroflexota bacterium
Lineage: Bacteria; Bacillati; Chloroflexota
Description: bacterial SSU rRNA
Rfam family: Bacterial small subunit ribosomal RNA
Source: RNAcentral
GAUAAACGCUGGCGGCGUGCCUUAUGCAUGCAAGUCGAACGGUACUGAUAAAUCAGGCUUGCCUGGAAUAUCAGGAGAGUGGCGAACGGGUGAGUAACACGUAAGUAACCUACCCCUAAGUAGGGGAUAACUCUGAGAAAUUGGAGCUAAUACCGUAUGUGGUGGUGAAGGUAAUGCUUCAUCCCUAAAGCCUUAGGGCACUUGGGGAGGGGCUUGCGUCCGAUUAGCUAGUUGGUAGGGUAAUGGCUUACCAAGGCGAAGAUCGGUAGCUGGUUUGAGAGGACGGUCAGCCACACUGGGACUGAGAUACGGCCCAGACUCCUACGGGAGGCAGCAGCAAGGAAUUUUGUGCAAUGGGCGAAAGCCUGACACAGCGACGCCGCGUGGGGGAUGACGGCUUUCGAGUUGUAAACCCCUUUUCCCAGGGAAGAAUAAUGACGGUACCUGGGGAAUAAGUCUCGGCUAACUACGUGCCAGCAGCCGCGGUAAUACGUAGGAGGCAAGCGUUAUCCGGAUUUACUGGGCGUAAAGAGGGCGCGGGCGGUUCUUCAAGUCGGAUGUAAAAUCUCCCGGCUUAACUGGGAGGGAUCAUUCGAUACUGUUGGGCUAGAGGACAGCAGAGGGAGGUGGAAUUCCCGGUGUAGUGGUGAAAUGCGUAGAUAUCGGGAGGAACACCAGUGGCGAAGGCGGCCUCCUGGGCUGUGCCUGACGCUGAGGCCCAAAGGCGUGGGGAGCGAACAGGAUCAGAUACCCUGGUAGUCCACGCAGUAAACUAUGGACACUAGGUAUAGGGAGUAUCGACCCUCUCUGUGCCGAAGCUAACGCUUUAAGUGUCCCGCCUGGGGAGUACGGCCGCAAGGCUA